Molecule: transfer RNA, 72 nt
Filed under: Dissostichus eleginoides (Patagonian toothfish)
Lineage: Eukaryota; Metazoa; Chordata; Actinopteri; Perciformes; Nototheniidae
Description: tRNA-Gln
Rfam family: tRNA
About the family: Transfer RNA (tRNA) molecules are approximately 80 nucleotides in length. Their secondary structure includes four short double-helical elements and three loops (D, anti-codon, and T loops).
Source: RNAcentral
UAGAUCGUAGUGUAGACGGAAGCACAAGGAGUUUUGAUCUCCUCAGGUCGGGUUCAACUCCCCACUUUCUAA